UUAGAGGGAAGUUCGUGGAGGGCUGGAGGAAGACAUAGAGAUCAGUGAGAAGAUUAAAGAGCAGGGAGAGAAGUGGGGCGACUGAGAUAGAGCAACAGAAAGGCUGCAAUGGAGUGAGGUGACGAAGAAUAUGGUAGCGUCAAAGAGGCUAAGAGCAGGGAACAGUGAGCGAGAGAGAUGGAGCUAGUGGGUGAGCGGAAGUGAAAAAGAGAGAAGCAGGCUGGUGCUGAUUGUCACAGGUGAACGAAAGAGGCUGGCCGCAGCAAAGAAGAUGGAGAAGAAAGAGGGCGGAGAUGGUAGUGACAGGAACUGGAGGAGAAGGCUGAGAGAGACAGCUGAGGGAAAGUGGCGGAGGUGGCUGAGAUGAGGGCGAAGAAUGGUAGAAAUGGGGUGAGAGAGAGCAGCUAUGUGGGAGAGAGGGCAACAGUGGGUUUUUGCUAUUGAAUUUAGAGAGACAACAGGCAGCAAGGUUGCUGUGAGCUGGCGGAUAUGGCAGGUGCAGGAAGAAGAAAGAAAGAUGGUCGAGGAUGGGAGGAAAGGGGCAGCAUCCAGCUGCCGUCUGAUGCGAGAGAGGCAGAGAAGAGGGGAAGCCUGAUCGCAGGCAGUUGAGGUGAAGGUGGGAAGGCAAGAACAUGGUGAAUGGCGGAGGUUGGACACAACUGGGGGAAGUCACAGGCGGUUGUCGUUUUUUAGAGAGAGAAAAGGCAACUGCAGCAGGGUGGAGGAAAUGGAGGUGGUGGAGAUGUGGCGAAAGAAAGUCCACUACUGAGUUUAGAGUGAGAGAAAACAUUGUACGACAAUAGGGAAAAAUAGGUGAAAGCCCACUACUGAGUUUAGAGUGAGAGAAAACACUACACGACAAUAGGGAAAAAUAGGUUGCGCACGGUGUUGGGGAAGAUGGGUUACACACGAUGAUGGGGGAGAUAGGUGCACACGGUGUUAACACGAAGAUGGAGGAGAUAGGUGCACACGGUGUUAGGCAAGAUGGGUCACACGACGAUAAGGUGAAGUUUACACAUGACGCUGAGGUUUGUAGUGCGCACGAUGAUAGGUAAGAUGGGUCCACACGGAAUUAAGGUAAAGUGCGCAUACGGGGCUGGGGUUUGUUGCGCACACGGCGAUAGGUAAGAUAGGUAAGAUGGGUGCACACUCCAAUAGGUAAAGGUUCACGUGCGGCGAGAGGUAGAGGUUCACGUGCAGCGAUAGGUUGUGUUCACGCGCGGUGAUGGGAUUAUACUCACUCGCGGUGUUAAAGGAAGAAAUAUUUGAGGCAUAAAUAUUUGGGGCAUGGUAGUUUCACGAAACCACGGACUGUGAGUGGGAAAAGGGAGACACGAGGGUGCACCAAGAAAGGGGAAUGUGAGGGAAGAGGGAAAAAAGAAGGGAAAAGAGAAUGGACAGGAGGGACCAUCAGGCAAAGGAAGGAAAAGGUGGACCCAAGGGUGCACAGGGAUCUGGUGGUCAUGCAAGGAAUAAAAGGGAAAGAAAAAAGAAAAUGGGUGGUCAUGCUGGACCACAAGGAGGGAAAGGGGAAUGUUAUGGUCAUGAGGGACCAUAGGGAGGAGAGAAGAGAGAGAUCAUGGUCAAGCGAGACCAUAAGGGAAGGAAAGAUGGAAGAAGAGAAGAAGAGUGAAACACAGACAGCGAUGGGCUUCCACCGUCUGUGAAGGAGGAGAGAGAAAGAGAAGAGAGAGAUGACAUAGAGGGUGACUGUACCUACCGCUCAUGUAGGCUACGAGGCCUGCCGAAGGGACUCAGACCAUCAUUUUAGUCAUCAGAAGAAUGAGAAAGGAGAGAAAGAGAGAGAGAUGACAGAGACGGUGACUGUUCCUACCGCUCGUGCAGACUACGAGGCCUACCGCCUAAGAAGGGACUCAGACCAUCAUCUCAGUCAUGAGAAGAAUGAUAAGAGAGAGAAAGAGACAUAGAAAGAAGAAGAAAUAGGAGAGACAAAGAGGAGAGAGGAGAGAGGAGAGAGAUGAGAGAGAUUUACUUUAAGCCCAAAGGUACCAACACAAAAUUUCUCUCUCCUUCCUCUCUCUCAAAACGUGACCCAACAAUGAAAAAGAUGGAAAUUUUAUUAAGCAAAGGGGGG
RNAcentral lists this long non-coding RNA (2095 nucleotides) under Amborella trichopoda. RNAcentral describes it as "long non-coding RNA (ATRI_LNC003960)". Lineage: Eukaryota; Viridiplantae; Streptophyta; Magnoliopsida; Amborellales; Amborellaceae. The record is from RNAcentral.